UGUUUAAUAUUUUGCAAUAAUUGGCCUUGUUCCUGAGCUGUUGGAUUCGGGGCCGUAGCACUGUCUGAGAGGUUUACAUUUCUCACAGUGAACCGG
This is a microRNA precursor of Bos indicus x Bos taurus (hybrid cattle), 96 nucleotides long. Ensembl annotates it as microRNA 128-1. NCBI's taxonomy places the organism in Eukaryota, Metazoa, Chordata, Mammalia, Artiodactyla, Bovidae. The record is from Ensembl.